This 1783-nucleotide ribosomal RNA is filed under the name human gut metagenome. Its description in RNAcentral is "bacterial LSU rRNA". It matches the Rfam family "Bacterial large subunit ribosomal RNA", at positions 767 to 2555 of the family's 2925-position model. The record is from RNAcentral.
UGGAGGACCGAACACACGUAUGAUGCAAUAUGCGGUGAUGACCUGUGAAUAGCGGAGAAAUUCCAGUCGAGCUUGGAAAUAGCUGGUUCUCCCCGAAAUAGGUUUAGGCCUAGCCUUCUAUUUAGCUUCUUGGAGGUAGAGCACUGAAUAUGGAAGGGCCGCACAUAGCGGUACUAACUGUAAUCAAACUCCGAAUGCCAAGAAAGUAUAUAGAGGAGUCAGUGUAUGGGUGAUAACGUCCAUACGCGAGAGAAAAAGAAUUCAGACCGCCGAUUAAGGUCCCAAAAUUUCUACUAAGUGGGAAAGGAUGUGGAGUUGUCAAAACAGCUAGGAGGUUGGCUUAGAAGCAGCCACCCUUUAAAGAGUGCGUAAUAGCUCACUAGUCGAGUGACACUGCGCCGAAGAUGUACCGGGGCUAAGUAGAAUACCGAAAUCGCGGAUUUAAUACUAUGUAUUAAGUGGUAGGGGAGCGUUCCAUGCGCGCUGAAGGUAGACCGUGAGGACUACUGGAGUACAUGGAAGUGAGAAUGCCGGUGUGAGUAGCGCAAGGGAGGUGAGAAUCCUCCCCACCGUUUGACUAAGGUUUCCUGGACAAGGUUCGUCCUUCCAGGGUAAGUCGGGUACUAAGGCGAGGCCGAAAGGCGUAGUCGAUGUCCAACAGGUUGAUAUUCCUGUACCAGCUAUAUGACUGAUGGAGUGACGGAGAAAGCUAAGAAGGGCCAGUUAUUGGAUUCUGGUAUAAGCACAUAGGUUAGUAUAUAGGCAAAUCCGUAUACAGAUUAACUGAAGUGUUAUGUUGACGGAAAUCCUCGGAUUUCUUAAAUCUUCUGAUGCUAUGCUUCCAAGAAAAGCUUCUAGGGCUAAUUACGUAGGUGCCCGUACCGAGAACCGACACAGGUGGUCAAGGAGAGUAUCCUAAGGUGAGCGAGAGAACUAUGGUUAAGGAACUCGGCAAAAUAACCCCGUAACUUCGGGAGAAGGGGAGCCUAAGUAAAAUUAGGUCGCAGAGAAAAGGCCCAAGCAACUGUUUAACAAAAACACAGGUUUCUGCUAAAUCGAAAGAUGAAGUAUAGGAGCUGACGCCUGCCCAGUGCUGGAAGGUCAAGGGGAGAUGUUAGGAGAAAUUCGAAGCAUAGAACCAAAGCCCCAGUGAACGGCGGCCGUAACUAUAACGGUCCUAAGGUAGCGAAAUUCCUUGUCAGGUAAGUUCUGACCCGCACGAAAGGCGUAAUGAUUUGGGCACUGUCUCGACAAUGUACCCGGCGAAAUUGUAGUACUAGUGAAGAUGCUAGUUACCUGCGACAAGACAGAAAGACCCCAUGGAGCUUUACUGUAGUUUGAUAUUGGGUUUUGGUAAUUUAUGUACAGGAUAGGUGGGAGACAGAGAAGGAUGUGCGUCAGCAUAUCUGGAGUCAACGUUGGGAUACCACUCUUAAGUUAUUGAAAUUCUAACUUGUGAUCAUAAACUGGUCAGAGGACAAUGUCAGACGGGCAGUUUGACUGGGGCGGUCGCCUCCAAAAGAGUAACGGAGGCGCCCAAAGGUUCCCUCAGUGCGGACAGAAAUCGCACAAAAGAGUGUAAAGGCAGAAGGGAGCUUAACUGGAAGAUAGACAUAUCGAGCAGAUACGAAAGUAGGGCUUAGUGAUCCGGUGGAAUUGAAUGGAAAAGCCAUCGCUCAACGGACAAAAGUUACCCUGGGGAUAACAGGCUUAUCUCCCCCAAGAGUUCACAUCGACGGGGAGGUUUGGCACCUCGAUGUCGGCUCAUCGCAUCCUGGGGCUG